RNAcentral lists this transfer RNA (85 nucleotides) under Felis catus (domestic cat). It matches the Rfam family "tRNA". From Rfam's summary of the family: Transfer RNA (tRNA) molecules are approximately 80 nucleotides in length. Lineage: Eukaryota; Metazoa; Chordata; Mammalia; Carnivora; Felidae. The record is from Rfam by way of RNAcentral.
GCCUGGGUGGCUCAGUCCUUUGAGCAUCUGACUUCAGCUCAGGUCAUGAUCUCACGGUUCGUGAGUUCAAGCCCCACUCUGUGCU